CCAACAGGGAUUGCCUCAGUAACGGCGAGUGAAGCGGCAAAAGCUCAAAUUUGAAAUCCUUCGGGAGUUGUAAUUUGUAGGUUGGGAGACCCCGCGGCUAGUGGCACCAAGUCCCUUGGAACAGGGCGCCUUAGAGGGUGAGAGCCCCGUAGGUACCACAACACCGUCUUGUGUCUCCUCUCCAAAGAGUCGAGUUGUUUGGGAAUGCAGCUCAAAGUGGGUGGUAAAUUCCAUCUAAAGCUAAAUACCGGCGAGAGACCGAUAGCGAACAAGUACAGUGAUGGAAAGAUGAAAAGCACUUUGAAAAGAGAGUGAAACAGUACGUGAAAUUGUUGAAAGGGAAGGGCUUGCAAGCAGACACGGCCUUCGUGCCGGGCCAGCAUCGGUUGCUAGGGGUGGAUAAGGAACAAGGAAUGUAGCUCCUCGGAGUAUUAUAGCCUUGCGCGAUACACCCACUGGCGACCGAGGCCUGCGGUAUUCCUACCUAGGAUGCUGGCGUAAUGGUUGCAAGCCGCCCGUCUUGAAACAACGGACACAAAA
RNAcentral lists this ribosomal RNA (540 nucleotides) under Sungouiella pseudointermedia. Its description in RNAcentral is "eukaryotic LSU rRNA". It matches the Rfam family "Eukaryotic large subunit ribosomal RNA", at positions 65 to 664 of the family's 3401-position model. The record is from RNAcentral. Lineage: Eukaryota; Fungi; Ascomycota; Pichiomycetes; Serinales; Metschnikowiaceae.